RNAcentral lists this ribosomal RNA (542 nucleotides) under uncultured Sclerostagonospora. RNAcentral's name for it is "eukaryotic LSU rRNA". The stretch from base 202 to 355 matches the Rfam family "5.8S ribosomal RNA". Lineage: Eukaryota; Fungi; Ascomycota; Dothideomycetes. The record is from RNAcentral.
AAGGAUCAUUACACUCAGUAGUUUACUACUGUUAAAGAGGCUGUUAGUCUGUAUAGCUUUACCGCUGAUGAGCAGCUGGCCUCUUUUCUCCACCCUUGUCUUUUGCGCACCCAUGUUUCCUCGGCAGGCUUGCCUGUCGGCUGGACAAUACAACAACCUUUUUAAUUUUCAAUCAGCGUCUGAAAAAAACUUAAUAAUUACAACUUUCAACAACGGAUCUCUUGGUUCUGGCAUCGAUGAAGAACGCAGCGAAAUGCGAUAAGUAAUGUGAAUUGCAGAAUUCAGUGAAUCAUCGAAUCUUUGAACGCAUAUUGCACCUUUGAGUAUUCUCUGAGGUAUACCUGUUUGAGCGUCGUUUAACACUAUAAAGCUUUGCUUUUUUUUAGAAUUUGGUUAGAAAUAUCCAAUUUCUCAAACAAAGUGGCGUCAUUUUUUUGUCGAUAUACAGUGAAAAUGUGUACUUGAUAACGAAAUGAUCAUUUCGCCCAUCUCAUUAAAUUUGUUCGACCUCAAAUCAAGUAAGACUACCCGCUGAACUUAAG